CCCAAUGUGAUGUGCAUACCUACGAAUGCUU
This 31-nucleotide non-coding RNA is filed under the name Mus musculus (house mouse). Lineage: Eukaryota; Metazoa; Chordata; Mammalia; Rodentia; Muridae. The record is from RNAcentral.